Molecule: long non-coding RNA, 3271 nt
Organism: Patiria miniata (bat star)
Lineage: Eukaryota; Metazoa; Echinodermata; Asteroidea; Valvatida; Asterinidae
Exons: 8
Source: RefSeq, a predicted model, not a curated record
UAUACGCGAUGGAUUACAGGCGGAAUCUCCGCCUGCAAAUGCAUCGUCUGAGGUCAUAGCAACUGGAGGAGUUUUUUUUUAUUGUGAACGACGAGCGAGAUUCAUUGUAUUCGGGGCUCUUUGUUCACUUCCGGGUGAACAACCACAGCGACUGAGGACAACGAAAAAAUAGACGGAAACAGAAAAUCAUCACAGACUCAACAAGUGUUCAGCUCGGGACCAUUCAAGAUGGAACAAGAAGAUUUUGUGUUCAGCUCAGACUCCAAAAGAUACGGCACAAAGCGGAUGAGUCUUUGCAUCUCAGCAGAUGAGGUGAGAGGAGGGACUGGAAGGUGAUCGGAGCUGGCUUGAUUAGCACAGACGGGGGCGCUGUAACGAGUUGGAGUCAUUGGAUUGGAAUGCAUCGGGCAUUGUCUGCAGUCUGUGCAGGUAUCAUCAUGACGAUGGAGGAGCAUCACCCUGGAUGAGAGAUCACAUGACCCCAGUCCAUUCAGAUGCUUGCAGCCUACCAUUGUCUUUCCCUGGUGUACUCAUUGUGGAGGAACAAUUACUGACUCUUGAAGGAAAAAAAGAAGAAGUUGGGCUGGUGGUCUGGUAUAGCACAGUGUGUUUAUGUUGCUGUUGAUGAAGAAGAAGAUUGUGAGAACCCGCUGCAGUGAUGCCACCUGACAAGCCAGACAUGCAGCUGAACUUUAACCUCUUAACCUUUGGCCUGUGUGGCUUCAGCUGUGCCCAAGAACAGACAGUUCUACCACUCGGCAGGUGUUUAAAAAAACGGUACAGCUGGAUAUCACCCAAAUAUGAGAACUGGUGUCAUCUGUGUAAAGUGAAAGAAGAGUUCCGUUUCCAAGAAGUGCUGAGAAUGGUCCCAGGGGUCAGAAAGGGAAGCCGCACAAGCUCAGAGCUACUGCCGCCAUCACCGCAGAGCGCCAGGGUUGGACAGCCAGCAUUUUGCGCAGGGAAGAAACUUUGGAUUAAUCCCAAAACUAGCCGUACGUUUGUGGAAAUCGGAGGAAAAGGGUAAGCCACAAAUUUGCAAUGUUUUCUAAAAGGAAACUUAACGGGGGUGCGUGUUGGUGCCUGGAACAGCCCGUGCUCCAUAGAUACCAAAACCUGGAACGACCCCGAAAAGAACCUUUAUCAACCGAGUGCCAAUCAUGUACCCCUGUUCAGACCUGCCACGUGCCGCGGUUUUUUUUUGGUACAAGCCACGCCUAUGUACGCGAGUGGUAGGCGCGCUGCAUUAUUCAUGGGGUGUUUGCAAAGGGGACAUGCCGCGAUUCUUUGGCACGCGACUAUCCAUAUACCCUAAAAAUUACGAGGAAAAAAACAUUCCUCAAAAAAGGGAAACGAAUCCGAAAUGUUGAUCUUAAAUUGCUUUUCAAGGAAGCGUUUCACUUUCGAAGCUGCAACCCCGAAAAUAAGUUUUUCAGAAUCUCACUUCCUGGUCGAAGUCAAGGGUUUUUUGGGGCACAGAAGGAAAGUACACUACCCGCGCGCAAAGCAAUAACUUUUACGACCCUCGCUAUUUAUUUGUUUUUCUUUCCGUUGGUUCGUGUCCUCACACGAGAGAAUCAGCAGAUUAAUUUGCAAGACGUACCGAUAAUAUACUGGAGUCCGUCGAAAGAUAUUAAAAUGUUACUGCUUGGCAUAGUUCAGCGAGUUGUUCAAUUACCCCUUCGUGGGGAGACUCCGGGGACGCGUUCGGCCCACAGAUCAGUUUGGGGGAUACAAUCCCGGUACUCGAUUUCACACGUGUGUCCACGGGAACAAGUUUAUUCAGACGCAGUCCCAGGCUGCGGGGAUUCAGUCCCAAGGGGGAAGGGGUAAGAUGGGAAAUGGAGGAAAUUGGGAAGAUGUUUUCAGGGAUGACACUCGGGAUGAUCAUGUGUUUCUCACUGCUUCUGUGUUUUAUUACGAUGUGAUCGGACAAUUAAGAAGGUGAUCAUAGUCCAACGAACACAGUGCCGGAGCUGCGAUGUAUUUUACCCGGGGAUAACGCGCCGAAACACGGGCAAGGUGGCCUGUCCGCCCGCUUAAUUUGUUUCGGUUUUAAAACAGGAUACUGGAAUUUUAUCCAAGCAAUUAGAGGGACUAAAACUGUAAGGUCUUUAACUGAUGGCAUAUUGGUACAUGACAUGGAAUCUUACUGAGACUGGACAAGCACGAUGGAGUCAAUAUAUGAGCAAAUAAACACAAAUCAGCAAACAAAACAGUCACGCUAAACAACAAAAUACUUCAGCUUGUGAAAUCGUUACGGUUGAAGAAUUACGCUGAACGUGAAAGUGUUUUAAAUGGUUAGAUUCUAAUAUAUCAGAUCAGUUUGGAUUUUUGGUGAUACAUUAUUGUGUCUCAGUGUUUCAUUAAUUUAUUCCAUGGUCACUUUGUCACUUGCAAGUAUAAGAUUGAACAUUCAUUUGUAACUUUUUAUUUGUCAAAACAGUAUUAGUAUUAGUUAAGCUCCACUUACGGUUAAUUCAAUAAUUGUACCCAAGUUUGGAAGUGAUCAAUGUAAGCGCUGUAUUUGCAUUCUGAAUAUAGACAUGUUGGUUCGUAAGUUAUAAUGAAACAUCUCCCAAGUUUUCAACCACCAAACUUUCCCUGCCAUUCCAUGGAGGGCUUGAACUUGUCGAAAGGAACAAACGAAACAAAUCUAAGUCGUUUGAAACGUUUCCUAUUUUCCAGCGUUGUUUGUUCCAGAGUCAACCUUGAUAGAAUUAUACGUGUCCAAUCAUUUUUGGGGGCCAUGACCCCUUAACCCUGACCCCUCGACUCCGGGUGAAAGCGGUCCAUGGAAUAGUCCCACACCCCCGUCAGCAUGUUAUUGCGCCGCCUGGUGUCGAGCCCAGGCUACGCCACCUGCCCCAGACACUCUAACGUUUUAUAGCCCCUCAAGUUUUAGAGCUCCGCUGGCGAAAUAAAAGUUUAUACCAACGAGGGGGGAUUUGAAGUUCGAUUUUUUUCGGGGGACCUCUGAAACAACCCUGGGUUUUUUUUUUUAGGGUUAUGGGAAAGACAUUGGAGACGUUAAAGGGCUGGAGAAGUUCAGUUUGAGCAGAGUUCAAGUUGUAUUUGCAAGUGAAACUUGUAAACCAUUCCGGGAAUUAAAAGUUAAUUUCACUACCGUCCUAAAUGCCCCGUUUUUUUUACAAUGUUCGUAGCUGUUUCGUACAAAUCACUCAACACAUUCGGUCCACAGUAUGUUCACUGUAGAAACACAUGAUCCAAACACGCGUGGUUCAUCUAAGUACAUGUAUACAAGGACAUAUUA